RNAcentral lists this ribosomal RNA (442 nucleotides) under uncultured bacterium. Its description in RNAcentral is "partial 16S ribosomal RNA". It matches the Rfam family "Bacterial small subunit ribosomal RNA", at positions 338 to 795 of the family's 1533-position model. The record is from RNAcentral.
CCUACGGGUGGCAGCAGUGGGGAAUAUUGGGCAAUGGGCGCAAGCCUGACCCAGCAACGCCGCGUGAAGGAAGAAUGCUUUCGGGUUUGAAACUUCUUUUUUCAAGGAAGAGUAGAAGACGGUACCUGACGAAUAAGCCACGGCUAACUACGUGCCAGCAGCCGCGGUAAUACGUAGGUGGCAAGCGUUGUCCGGAUUUACUGGGUGUAAAGGGCGUGUAGCCGGGUUGACAAGUCAGAUGUGAAAUCCUGCGGCUUAACCGCAGAACUGCAUUUGAAACUGUUGAUCUUGAGUACUGGAGAGGCAGACGGAAUUCGUAGUGUAGCGGUGAAAUGCGUAGAUAUUAGGAGGAACACCAGUGGCGAAGGCGGUCUGCUGGACAGCAACUGACGGUGAGGCGCGAAAGCGUGGGGAGCAAACAGGAUUAGAUACCCUAGUAGUC